AUCUCUGGAACUGAGAGUGCCUUCGGGAGCGCAGUGACAGGUGGUGCAUGGCUGUCGUCAGCUCGUGUCGUGAGAUGUUGGGUUAAGUCCCGCAACGAGCGCAACCCACGUCUUUAGUUGCCAGCAUUUAGUUGGGCACUCUAGAGAGACCGCCGGUGAUAAACCGGAGGAAGGUGUGGAUGACGUCAAGUCAUCAUGCCCCUUACAUCCUGGGCUACACACGUACUACAAUGCUACGGACAAAGGGCAGCAAGUUCGCGAGGACAAGCAAAUCCCAUAAACCGUAGCUCAGUUCAGAUCGUAGGCUGCAACUCGCCUACGUGAAGGAGGAAUCGCUAGUAAUCGCAGGUCAGCAUACUGC
Molecule: ribosomal RNA, 361 nt
Filed under: uncultured cyanobacterium
Lineage: Bacteria; Bacillati; Cyanobacteriota
Description: bacterial SSU rRNA
Rfam family: Bacterial small subunit ribosomal RNA
Source: RNAcentral